Molecule: ribosomal RNA, 253 nt
Filed under: uncultured bacterium
Lineage: Bacteria
Description: partial 16S ribosomal RNA
Rfam family: Bacterial small subunit ribosomal RNA
Source: RNAcentral
UACGUAGGUGGCAAGCGUUGUCCGGAUUUAUUGGGUUUAAAGGGUGCGUAGGUGGCCCUGUAAGUCAGUGGUGAAAUAUCUCAGCUUAACUGAGAGGGUGCCAUUGAUACUGCAGGGCUUGAGUACAGAUGAGGUAGGCGGAAUUGACGGUGUAGCGGUGAAAUGCAUAGAUAUCGUCAAGAACACCGAUAGCGAAGGCAGCUUACCGAGCUGUAACUGACACUGAGGCACGAAAGUGUGGGGAUCAAACAGG